GCUUAUACUCGACCGUCAGCGGCACGUGCGAUCGAUAGCGCCGGCUCUCGGGCCGGCGCGCGGUCACGAAGCCCUGACGAGUAGGAGGGUCGCGGCGGUGAGCGCAGAAGGGCUGGCCGCGAGGCCGUCUGGAGCCGCCGUCGGUGCAGAUCUUGGUGGUAGUAGCAAAUACUCCAGCGAGGCCCUGGAGGACUGACGUGGAGAAGGGUUUCGUGUGAACAGCCGUUGCACACGAGUCAGUCGAUCCUAAGCCCUAGGCGAAAGCCGWAGUCGAUGCGGUGUAGUUUAAGAAGCGCGCGAUAACACGAACUUCUAACGACGACGACGAAAUAAACGUUAAUUCGUCUCGUCGUCGAAGUAUAUAACGCGAGAGCAGCACACACCCGUCGGGCGAAAGGGAAUCCGGU
Molecule: ribosomal RNA, 407 nt
Filed under: Echinodera ochsi
Lineage: Eukaryota; Metazoa; Arthropoda; Insecta; Coleoptera; Curculionidae
Description: eukaryotic LSU rRNA
Rfam family: Eukaryotic large subunit ribosomal RNA
Source: RNAcentral